ACCCCAUGCCACCCCACCCCAUCUGUAUUCACCACUGCUGGAGGAACAUUUUACAUAAGUGAAACAUAAAAAAUGAAUGAAAGAUCUUUUUCUGCUAAGCCGCUGGGAGACUGGAUUUUCAUUUGCUGUAACAGCUUGCUUUACCUUCACUCAUAUAAUAUCCUACUCAAAAUCUGGGAAAAUUUAUGUCUUUGUCAAAAAUAUAAAAAUUAGCUCUGCAUGGUGGUAUGCACCUCUAGUCCCAACUACUUGGGAGGCUGAGGCAGAAGAAUCACUUCAACCCGGGAGGCAGAGGCUGCAGUGAGCCAAGAUAAGGCCACUGAACUCGAGCCUGGUGACAGAGCAAGACUCCAUCUCAAAAAAAAAAAAAAAAAAAAAAAUUGACCUCCAGUUUUAAUGCAAUUGCACUCAGAGUUCCAACAGAAAUUUUGUAGACAGAGAUAUGCUGAUUCUAUAAUUUAUACAGAAAGGCAAAAGGAGGGAGAGUAGUCAAAACAAUGUUGAAAAAGAAGAGCAGAAUUGGAGAACUCACACUAUGUUAUUUCAAGAAUUACUAUAAAUCUACAGUCACUGUAAAUCUUUAGUAACAUGUUUGUGUCUACAGGAAAGACAUAUACACCAAUGGUAAAGAAUAAACGAUACAGAAACAGACCCAUACAAACAUGCCCAGUGGAUUUUUCAGGAAUGCACAAAGACAAUUCAACGGAUCAAGGAUAGCAUUUUCAGCAUAUGAUGUUGGAAUCAUCAAACAUUCCUAUGCAAAAAAAUUAAAACUGAACCUCUGCCAAAACCUUAUGCCUUAAACAAAAAUGAAUUUAAAGUGGUUUAUACUCUAAAUAUAAAACAAAACAUCUAGAAGCCAACAUAGGAGAAACUUUCAAGACCUGAUGUUAGGCACACAGUUCUUAGAUAUGAUAUGAAAAGCACAGUCUACAGAAGAAAAAUAAUCAACAGAUUGGAUUUUAUCAAACAGAAACAUUUUUUCUCUAAGAUGUCAUAAAAGAAUGAAAAGAUUACCUGUACAAUAGGAGAAAAUAUUUCCAAACUGCAUAUUCAAUGAAGAGCUCAUAUUCAGAAUAUAUUAAAAAAGAAAAACUAAAAUCUCAAUACUAAGUGUAUUAGUCUGUUCUCAGACUGCUAUUAAGGUACUACCCGAGACUGGGUUAUUUAUGAAGGAAAG
RNAcentral lists this long non-coding RNA (1180 nucleotides) under Callithrix jacchus (white-tufted-ear marmoset). Its description in RNAcentral is "lncRNA (ENSCJAG00000082307.1)". The record is from RNAcentral. Lineage: Eukaryota; Metazoa; Chordata; Mammalia; Primates; Cebidae.